This is a long non-coding RNA of Bos taurus (domestic cattle), 2235 nucleotides long. The record is from Ensembl. Lineage: Eukaryota; Metazoa; Chordata; Mammalia; Artiodactyla; Bovidae.
AAAAGGAAAAAAAAAAGUACCUGCAGGUGAUGUGGAGGUGAAGGAAAAAAGAAAAAGAGAAACGGGACUGGAUUUAUUUAUUUGGUUACACGAGGUCUUUGAGGCUCAUGAGAUCUGGAUCUUCCUUGCCCCACGCAGGAUCUUUACUUGCGACUUCGUGAUCUUUACUUGCGACUUGUGAACUCUUAGUUGCCAUGUGUGGGACCUAGUUCCCCGACCAGGGAUCAGACAGGGCUCCCUGCGUUGGGAGCUCUGAGUCUUGGCCACUGGACUACCAGGGAAGUCUCAGGCCUGGAAUUUAUUAAAUAAAUUAAUCAAAUAUUUUACAAAUUUAAGACACCUGUGGGGAGGAGAGAAAAAAAAAAAAAAAAAACAGAGAAAACGAUGGCACUCCAGAGCUAGAGCAGGAAGAGGGAGACACCAAAGAUGGCGCCCCGGUGUCCUCUCUGGUGGGCAUCCAGAAGCUCUUAGAAGUACGUGUUAAGUUGACACCUGCCCCUCAGGCUGCUUAUAUAGUAUAAGGGCUUCCCUGGUGGCUCAGAUAGUAAAGAAUCCGCCUGCAAUGCGGGAGACCUGGGUUUGAUCCCUGGAUUGGGAAGAUCCCCUGGAGAAGGAAAUUGCAACCCACUUCAGUAUUCUUGCCUGAAGAAUCCCCGUGGACAGAGAAGCCUGGCAGGCUACAGUCCAUGGCAUCACAAAGAGUCAGACAUGAUUGAGCGACUAAGAACCUUAAAGUUCAGAGAGACGUCUCAAAAAAUAGUUUCCAUGUUUCUCUGUCUUCUGCCAAAGUGCUGGCAUGAUGACCCUUUUAGUCUCUCCUAGCUCUCACAGUAAUGGCUACAAGCCCAGCCAAACAUCAGGAAGCAGCUUCUUCAGGAGCUUGAAAGAAAUCAGGUCUCAUUAAACAAUAAGGGAAUGGGCCACACAGCUCACUUAUUUCCUCUGCCCUUGGAAAAAUGUAGAUUCCUUGGUGUAAAGUAGAGAAGCAAAUCAAAACUAAAUUACCUCUGUGUAAAUAAACCAUGUGACACCAAUAAUUAGGAAGCUUAAGUGUAAGAACAUGGCCUGCUAUAUGAAAAGACCAAGAUUUACUUCCAGAUCAGCUGACAAACAUCUUUAAACUCUUUGAUGAUACAAACAAAACCUUUAAGCAGUUUGAUCCUAAGCCUUCUCUUCAUCCUUCCACCAGGAUUCCAGCUGUGAUUUGUCAGAUUUUAUGGUGUUAUUAUCAGAUCUGGACUGAUGGUGCUAAUUAUUCCCCUAAAAGAUACCAGGAUUUAAUCACGGAGAAACAAUAUUUUACUUCUAUUAAAAGGAUUUUUAGAAAUUUGUUUCAUCAUACUGUCUCUAUAACUUACUAUUUUUUUUUAUUUAUUGUAUUAGAAAAUGCAGUUAAUUGUGUUGAUACUAUUUUGGGAUUCAUGACAAACAUGUAUUUAAAUGGGGUGGUAUGUAUAAGCAUGAAUAGACCAUACAUGGGUUGUUGCUGAACAAAGUCUGUUGCUUUUUGCUUCUUUCUUUCUUUAUUUAUUUUUACAUUUGUAGGGUAAAAACCUACAAAGAACCUCCAACCUAUAAAGAACCUCCAGCCAGCUUGAUUUUGUUGCUGCUACCACUGCCAGAUAUAGCAGAGCUGACAUGUUGCUGAGUUAUGUCCUAGCAAUUUUUGCUCAUGUUGUAACUUAGCUUCACCACAUUAGUUCAGUCAAGCAGUGCUGUGGCCUUCUUGAUGUGUUCCAUAUUUACACAGUUGUAAAUAUUCUGUAAAGAAUUGUGUACAAUAGUUAUUGCUUCUGAGGUUAUGACAUAGGUUCAUUCUAGGGCUAAGACUUUUUUAUUGGUAAACAGUUCCCAAAACUUAACUAUGCAUGGUUAUCUUGAUAAAACAAUUUAUAAACUAAAUAUGUUUAAGGCACAUGAACCAAAUCAAAACAAAAAAUGAUGUCAAGCCUUCCCUGAAAUUUCCAUCAGUAGGUUAACAAAGUUGGGUAUUUACUAGGCAAUGUAGACCAGUGUAUCUGAAUUGUAAUGUGUCCAUAAAAUACCUGGGAAUAUUACUAAAAUUCAGAUUCUGAUUCAGAAGGUUUAGAGUGGGACUGAGAUGCUGAGCACGUUUCAAAGCUCUCCAGUGAUACUCAUGUUGCUUGUCGAAGAACCACACUUUGAAUAGAAUGGAACUAGGGAACUGACUUCACACCCAGAUUUUUGGGCUCUGUACCUCACUUUGUAAAUCAG